AAGAGGAGGAGUUUUGCUCAGAAAAGAAAGAACCUUGGAGAAGAAGGGAGCGACUUUCUAAGGUGAAAACCCACGGCUGGAAGUAUGGAGAAAAAAAUAUCCUGAAAGGACUGGUAAGGUUCCCAAGUGAUUUGAAGGUCGGUAAUGUGAUAAACAAAGAGAGGAUCACCGACAGACAACCUGGGCAGCUCACUAAGCCAAGGACAAGCAGGUUAGGUUAUCUCCGUGGCAGCUUGACAUUCAAGGAUCACAAAGCUUCCCCAGAACAACCAUGCAUGGAAUGAUCUAAUUAUGCUCUGACAGGUCAUCCCACAAAACAAUUAGGAGGGACUGGAGAUAUUUUAUUAUGUUGCUCUGCGUGCUACACGUCAAAGACACAAUGGAAAAUGGUUGAAGAGCUCUGGCAUUAAUCAUGCUUGCAGCAAGAAGGGACCGUGGCAAUAAAAGGAGCAACCUUGCAUGGAGAGGCAGUGCCUGGGCUGACCCACCCAGCAGGGCACCACUGUGCUUCCUACCUGCAGGCAGAUCCUGUCCCAGCCCACCAUGGGAG
Serinus canaria (Common canary) is the source of this 550-nucleotide long non-coding RNA. RefSeq lists it as uncharacterized. The transcript is spliced from 4 exons. The record is from RefSeq and is a predicted model, not a curated record. NCBI's taxonomy places the organism in Eukaryota, Metazoa, Chordata, Aves, Passeriformes, Fringillidae.